Osmia bicornis bicornis is the source of this 167-nucleotide long non-coding RNA. RefSeq lists it as uncharacterized. The transcript is spliced from 2 exons. Lineage: Eukaryota; Metazoa; Arthropoda; Insecta; Hymenoptera; Megachilidae. The record is from RefSeq and is a predicted model, not a curated record.
AAACUGAUUUAAGCACCACCUGAAUUACUGCAUCCAACUAACGGCAUGCUAUACUACGUUACCUUUCGCAAAUACCUAAAUGACACAUGUAAAUACAAUGCUCACUUAUUACUUAUGCGGAAGGAUGCUCUCAACACGUCUUGUCACUUCGACGUUCGCGAGAGAAA